Long non-coding RNA from Haemorhous mexicanus (house finch), 7852 nucleotides. RefSeq lists it as uncharacterized. NCBI's taxonomy places the organism in Eukaryota, Metazoa, Chordata, Aves, Passeriformes, Fringillidae. The record is from RefSeq and is a predicted model, not a curated record. The transcript has 4 exons.
CUGUGGACACGUCAAACCACUUUCUCCUUCAACCUCUUCCUCCUCUUUGCAUAAUUUUUGUGUCUUUGAAGGUUUUUUCUUCCUCCCUUCUGUUUUUCUUGUCUAUACACUAAAACAACUUCAAAAUUUUUUUUUCCUUGAAUUUUACACUUUAAACGACUGAUCAUGAACAAUAUGCAUUUCACAACAGGUCUCAGAGGAAAGAAAAAAACUCAGUGGAUUAUUGGCUUUUUUGCAGAAGAGGAUUAGCAUGAAGAGGAUUGCCAUGAAGAGGAUUAGCAACCUCACAGUCAUGAGAUUGUAAGACUACACCAGAAACAGCUGACUCAAAAUGCCUCUGAAUAGUUUAUCCUACUCCUGUCCUAAAUAGAUGACAUUUGUGUGAAGAUGAGUUACCUUGGCUAUGUGUUCCAGCCAUCUGCCGAGCGCAAUGAACACAAACAACAUGGGAGGAGUGUCGAAGAAAGUGACGGGGCUUUUCUCUGCCUUUUCAAGGAUUGCUACGAGCAGGAUCACGCAGGAAUACACAUAAGCAAUCGUCGUGGCCAGUACGAUGAGCACAUCCAUGUUGGCCGUCUUGUGCCUCAGGGACUUGUAAGCUUGCACGUAAAAAUACCAUCCACCAAGGAACUGUCGGUGUGAGCAGGGACAGACUCACAUUGAGAUCAGCAACCACAGAGUACAUAAUACUGCCCAGAGCAGAAUUAAAACCAUGCAGGACAUAAGGGAAGGCAUCGCUGACCCCAGCAAAUUUGAUACAAUUUCAGGUCUUUAGGAGACUGACUCCAUUGACAUCCUCUCAUUCAUGCUUCCUAGUUCUCAAAACCAGCAAAUAUCAUCCUUUUCCUCAGCAAUGCAAAGUAAACAAGGCAUAGAAAAUGAAAGGAUUUACCCACAGCUACCCAAUUAGUUUACAGAUGAUCAGUGUUUUUCCAUAGUCACAACAGCAAAGUUUUUACAGAGACCCAGCCACACUGAGUCUCCCUUCAGCAAUGAGAGGAACUCUCAUUGCAAGAUUUACACAGGGAAGGAGGCUUCAGCUCGCAACCAGGAGGAGAAUCAACGUUGGACAAAGCCUAAGGAGAAAGGGGAAAAGUAAAAAUAAAUGCACGUAUCCUUAGCCCUGUAAAAGCAACAACAGUCUUCAUAUGCUCUCAAGCACAUACUAGAAGUGCUCUCAAGUUAGUCUGUAUGGCCAAAACCCUUUUCAACAUUGUUUUACUCUUUGAAUAUAUUACCAGUGAGUUAUGCCCAUGAUGAUGAAUCAGGCUUCUGACAGUCUCUUGAGCAGCAAUUUAGAAAAUACUGACUAGGGAUAUAAAAGCAGAAUUGACUCAAUACUCCUACCCCAACCAAAUAAUUUUAAACUUGAGUUCUCUGCAGCCACAGGACACUUCCAUCACACAGCCUGAGCUGCUCUUCAGAGCACACUGUCACUGGCACAGUGGGUCACAGUAGAGAGUGUGCUGACUGCCUUUCCAAAAAGGUCAUAAACUGGCCCAGUUUGGCUACUUCCCAGGAGGAGUUCAAACCAAAACAAAGAAAACCAAAAAGCCAAAUAAAACAGAAUCACGACUUUUCCAGAAGCCUGAAACAAGUUGGUGCAGGGAGGGUCAGCUGCAUGAUAUUUGAAGAGCUAUUUGCACACACACAAAGGCCUGGGCUCUCUGCAUUUAAUAUAUAAUCCUUUGAACCUGAAAUCUGUAUCUAACAAAGACCUUGAAAUACAGAGAACUGUAACCAGAUAUUUUCACUACAGUUUAAUUUUAUUUACCUACUUGUGAGGCACCUAAGACUAUAAAUUGUGCUACAGUAACUCACUGAUUUCAUCCAACACUGAUUUUCAGGAUGGCCAGUACUGAAAUAGUUCACUUCUGGCUGGCCUAUCUCUCAGUCAGACCACAGCCUCUGCAAUACUGGAACUCUACAGCUGAAUGCACUCAAUUCAACUGAAAAUGAAUUUUUUCUUUUUUUUUAAAUUGCCAAUGCUUCUUACAGAACAAGUACUGAGAGCUCCAGUUGCUGGAGCCAUGUGAUGAGAAAGAUUGAAAAGGGCAGGGACAAGCCCUAGAUGGUCAGAUUUCAUGGAAAGAACCUGAAAAUUCAUGUUCAUGAUUUAAGGCAACUUUAAAUACUAGAGAUCUAGAUAAAAGCUACUGGGACAAAUCAAUUCUCUUGCCUGCAAAGCCUUGGGCUCUCUGACAUUCCAUAAAACACCUGAUGCUGGGCAUUACUGCAGGGAGAGCCUGGAGAAGGGCCCACUGGAUCACCCCCAGUGUUGCGGAUCCUGUUCCUACGACCCACAAGAAAACUUCUUUCGCAAUACCACAGCAUGGAUGAGAAGCAUUUAGGCUGCUUAGUAACACUAGACUGCAUCCAGUUCAUUUGAUGCAGUAUUCAAAAUUCAUUAACUUGAUUUUGUUUCACGCUUAGACAGCUUGGGAAUAAUGAGAUCUGGGGCCACAUAAACAGCAAAACCUUAAGACCUUGCUUUCAGACUUUUCUAUACUGUAUUUGUUAGAACAGGAGGAGGAAUGAGCAAAUUCAACUCUUCAAGAUUAUGGUGCAGCCCCUCAGCUAUCCUGACAGUAAACUCUCUCUCCUGCUCCCCCUCUUCUGCUUGGCCUCAUGGCUGCACUCCAGGGAUGCUGGAGAAGAAGAGUCAGAGGAAUAUUUUAGUCCUGGCAUCUCCUUUUGCCUCUUCCUCCCAUCGGCCUGGAAGCACCCAGGACACUGCUCUCCUUGCGCUUCCCCUCCCAUAAGUUUGUGAAAUCCCCAGCAUAUAUGGAAAUGUGCCACAAGCACCUCCUUUCAAAACAAAGCAUUAACAGUUAAUCAGAUUUUCCUGCAAAGGUGGUGCCCUGUUUAAGCACCACACAAAGACAACCAGGACACUCCCAUUCCUGUGUCCUCCUAUUGUUGUGACUUCCCACAAUUUGAAAUAAUAACCUGGCCUUGUGUAUGGGAAAAAAAACCCUUGUGAAAACAGUCUCCCAGCCACCACAUUUCAAAUGUGGCCUAAACUCAAACUAGCAUUGAUUGUAAAUUAUGCCUGAAGAAGCGUUAGGUGAAUAUUGUCUGCCAUCCUCUUCCCUGUCCCCAGUCCCCCAAGGACACUGCUCACAGUGGCCUGCUCUUAUCAAAAACACCCAGUGCAAUCUGUGUGGCAGUCACAGAAGCUCACCCUGUGCAUGUACUUUGGCUUGCAGGACAAAGGUAUUCUGCCUUCUGCAUGCUUUGGUGAAACAGAGCACGAAUGGAGGAGACGAGCAUCCUCCACUCUCUGCUUCACUGCCUGUCUGGCCACCACUUGCAGAUGAAACUCAGGAACCAUCACAGGCCCUAUGUCCUCCACUGUGUUCCCUCCUCCAUCAUGCUCACUGUCUCAGUUUUCCAAGGUACCCCGUGACAUAAAAGCAAUUCAAAUUAAUCAUGUAAAAAGAUUAGAGGGUACUUCCCAUUAUGCAGUCUUUUGAAAAACAUAAAAGCAAGGACUGAUUCCACUAUUUCAAUGCAUUGUAAGCCACAGAAACUUCAAAACUUGGACACUGUUUUUUGCUUUGCAUAAAAAGCUAUCCCAACAUUUAGAAGAAUUGGCAAAAAUAUUUUGUUUGCUACUUGUUGAAACCAUAUGCUUAUGCUCUGUAGGAGAAAAAACCUUGCACACAAAUUUUUAAAUGACAAGGAAAAAAUAGAGAGGGGAUGUGGAUAUAAGAAAACUAAAAAGCUUCUUUCCCUUAAAAAAACCCACACAAGUGCCAAAACAUUGAAGAAUCUACCCCCAAAACCAAGAAAUGUGCACAGGUACAAACAGAGUAUUUACAAAGCCUUUAGUGCUGUUUAUAACAGAUUUAAAAAAAAAAAAAAAACAGAAACAGAAUAGGCAGCAAUACAGAACACACAGAAAUGUGUGUAUUUGCAAGAAGGGUAUUUCUACACCAGACAAGAGGAAAACAGCAGAUUCAUGUAAGGACACAGAGAUGAGACAUACAGAAAUGUGUCCAUAGUUUUCCUCAGGCACUGCUGGGUCUCAGAAAUGGAUUUCCUCAUACCGGCUGACACCCACACAUAAAAGGCUAUAUGGUAAUUCAGAGACACUACCUGCAAGAGGAUCAGAGAAGCAAUCCCCACCAAAAAUGCCCAAAAAGCUGUUUGGGAGUCUCAGGCUUUGCCCCUUCUGCUUUUUUUCUGCUCAGACAGAAAUAUGAACAAAAUAAUGGAAAUGCAUCUGCUCUACAUCCAGAAGGGAAUGUGUGAAAGAACUGGCCAUAGUUACUCUUUUGUCUCCACACCAAAGGAGAAUGGUUCACUUUUAAGGGCAGGUAUACAUUAAGUCUCUUUGCUCUACCAGCCUCAUGCAUAUUUUUACAGUAUCUAUGUGAAGAAUAUGCAAAUAAUUACACACAAAAUGAUGCCAAUUCUCUCCCUCCUUUGUUCUGCAUGUAAAAGUUGGAACUGAAAGCACACAGCAGAGCGAGUCUCUACCUGGAAAGUUAAGAAACUGGACACAAAGUUAUGAAAAUCAUAUGGACAAUACAAAAGAAUUGAAGAAAUCUGAGAAAUCAUUGACAAAGAAUCAGUAGUAGAUGGAGACAGCGUUAAAGAAAGCACAAGUACUGGCUGGAAAAUACUUGCAUCUACAGGAGAAGCUCUGAACCAGACCCAAGAUGAGUUGCAAAUGUGCAGGAGUGUGGCACCUGAAGCCCAAGUCUCAGAAUGAGGAUUUCAAAGCAAGAAACAAGGCAUGAAGAGCAACCCUUGAUGUCCCAGACAGGAGCUGUAGCACUCAUGCCUGUCCUGGGGCAAAGCGGGGCUUGGGAACAGCUGGAAGAGGCAGAGGCUCAUGCUCCCCUUUCAGACUGCCUCCAGCCAGCAGGAAGAAGAUCAUCCAAUGGAAAUAUAGCCUGGGGCUGGACUAACUUUUUGUGAAAGCAUGGAGGUGGAGCAGGGCAGGGUGAUGCUGCUGGAUUGGAAGCACCAAAUCUCAAGCCCUGUUUUGGCACAGAGCUCUUGGCAUCAUAGCAUCCAGAGUUCAUGGCAGGUUCAUUUGGGAAAGGUAGUCCUAGGCCAUGGUCUGUAUGGCUGGUGGGGCAAACCCACCCCACUGAGGGCUGCCCUUAGAGGCCCAGCAUCAUGCUGACCCAUGGUGCCCCAAAACAGGCUCCUUGUUUUGGAUAUUCCCAUUCAAAUAUGCAAAGGCUGAGAGAUCAAGCAGUGAAGGGAUAUAUAAUAAAUCUGAGAAAAACAACUGAGCUCAGAAAAAAACCCCAAAGACAUGGAAACCAUGGCACUGGGUGAGACCCCCACAUGUGCACACAUGGCGACCCAUGUCUUGAGAAUGGAUGCAGCACCAUAGCUGUGAACACAACAAUAUUUGUGCCUUCCUUGGCUUCACAGCCCCGCCACCACCCACCCCUAGCUGAGUCCCCAUGCCCUCCAUUGAUGUGUUUCAUGGGCACCUCGUGGGGUGGCCUGUCACCAGGAAAGCCAUCCCUCUAUCCAUUUCCCCUUCCCAAGAGGUGCAGCCACCUCCAAAAUGCCAGCAUAACACUCCUGGCUUCUGCAGCACAAGGCUAGGUUGUGACAGGCACACUCCACAGCUCCCUGAGCAUCAACCACACCAAGAUCCAGCACAGUACUGCUCCUCUCUGCCCAUCCAGCAAGGCUCCCCCCCCUUCUCUGGCACUGCUCUCCUGCCCUCCUUUGCGUGGCCUGCAGGGAUGGCAACUUUCACAUCCUAAAACUUGAGCACCAGGCUCCUCAAAGUGAUGCCAGGCAAUCAGUGCCUGGCCCACUCAGCACCUCCUCUGCCUCUCCCUGCCUGCUCCUCCACAAAUGCUGGAGGUCACUGCACCUCACAUCCACUAUGCCCUGAAGUUUUGGUUUGCUCUUUUCCCUGUACCUCUGUGGUCUGAAAUCAGUUAUUGCCCUCUUACCUUUGAGCACACAACUGCUGAAGAAUUAUCUUAUCUGUGUUUUACCUUCUCUACUUCCUUCUUUCACAACUGCCUGAUUCAUGGCUUUGGAUUCAGGCGGCAGCAGCACACAACUGAAAAGCCACACACUAAUAAUUAAACGCUUCAGAAGUUUCCCAGUUUAUUAUAGGCAGACAGUGAACAACAAAAUGAGGGCAGAGAAGCCACAAAAACAUCAAAGGUCACGAGUCUUCAAUUUUUUGCCAGUAACAGCAACACUCUGGCACACAGAGUAGCCAGAAAUUCAAUCCUCAUCCUACUUAGCAUUUUUCAGUGCAUCUCGUUAGAGCAUAUUGUUUAAAUGUAUUAGAUCAUAACCAUUGUUCUUUCUCCCCUCGUCUCCCAAAGGAAGAUUAACAAAUGUCAGUAGCUACUAUAUUCAGUAACUACUUACAACACAAUUUGUUAUUUUUCAAACAGUUCCUGAGUCUUAAACGAGGGAAAAAACACCUUCUAAGCCUGAAUAUCAAGAUUCAAUGAGAUUAUUACUACAAAGCAGCCUUUAUGAGGCUUUUGUUUCCAAAAUACUAAGUUGAUUUACUAAUGCUUCUGCCAAGGGACUACUAUUUCCCGCCUGGGAUCAGGCUUCCCUAACAGUACAGAUGAUAGGGAAAGAUUUAGGCAGCUGAAGCCAGUCUUACUUAAAUGACACCUACACUGUAGUCAACAAACUUCAGAGACCUUAACAGGCACUUUUAAAUUAAAGGGAGCUGUGUAAACCAAGUUUGGUUUAUGAGAAAGGGGAAAAGCUUGCUGUAAACAAAAUGUUCCUAAUUUAGAAUUAAAACAAGACAAACCUCGUUGUGAUGUUCUUCACAGCACCAGUACAAGCAGCAUAUAUAUCCCAGUGAACUGAACACAGAGAAGAGAUCUUUUGGUAGAACAAAGUCAUUUAUGUCAUGACUGUUUUCUAGCAAACAUUUAUAAUACAAGAAGUAACUCGAGGCAGAAAAAGCCUUCAGGUAUAGUUGGUCUCUUCUGGCCGUUAUUUCAUUCCAGUCUGCCACUAUGUGAACCAUUCUAAGCAUACCCAGUUUCAAAGAACAUGAACACACAGAAUCACAGAACAUUAUGAGUUGGAAGGGACCCACAAGUAUCAUGAAGUCCAAUUUUUCAGCUAAUGGCUCAUGCAGGAAUCAAACCUACCACCCAGGCAUUAUUAGUACCAUGCUUCAACCAAGUGAGCUUUGUUCUGACAAUUUUCCUAAAAUGUUCACAAUAUUCACUGACCCAAACUACAUUACUCCAGUGUACAUACAUUUUAAAUAGCAAAAUUCUUUUAAAAAAAUUAACCUUGUCACUUUGCUUUCAGCAAUGAUCUCUUCACCACAGCAGUUAAUAUCCAAAAAUACCACAGUUAUAUACAACACUGAAUUUUAAAAAAAGUUGCACAGAUAUAUUCAUCAAGAGCUUCACUAGCACCCACUUACUAGAUAUAAAUAAACUACUUACCUACAAUAAGGACUUUUUAAUGUUUCUGCAAUUUUUCUUACUCCAAACUAGUAGGAGCUUCUUCAAACUACUGGAGCAAUUGGAGUUCAAAAGGAGAAAUACUAUUAUGUUUCCUUCCUAAGAAUCACCACUCUGUAUUAUUAGAGGUGGAGCUGAAACCAUGCUCAUUAGCUUCUACAGCAUAAGUCAUCAUUAACAACUUGUUUCAAAGAUUAUUUUCAGAGGAUCCCCAGAAGACUUUGCAUAUGUACUGCUUGUUAUGGGACUGGCAUCCAUGCUGGGGAUCAAGACAAUUUAGAUAAAGGUUUAACCUCCUUUAAUAUACAACCCAUGCAACAGCAUGCUUUGUUUUAAAUUCACCAGUUCAGGAACACCACUUCCCUCCCUGCAUGCACACUCUCACACACACACACACUGACCUGCCU